GUAGUUGAUGGUAAAGUGGUUAGCACAGUUGUCUUCCAAGCAAUAGAACUGGCUUCAUUUUCCAGCCAUUACA
This is a non-coding RNA of Crenichthys baileyi (White River springfish), 73 nucleotides long. The record is from the annotation of a GenBank genome assembly. Lineage: Eukaryota; Metazoa; Chordata; Actinopteri; Cyprinodontiformes; Goodeidae.